RNAcentral lists this long non-coding RNA (375 nucleotides) under Bos taurus (domestic cattle). RNAcentral's name for it is "long non-coding RNA NONBTAT014931". The record is from RNAcentral. Lineage: Eukaryota; Metazoa; Chordata; Mammalia; Artiodactyla; Bovidae.
AUGAGGCAAAACUUCACUGCUCAAGUAGUUCAACUUUUGAAGCGUUGGUUGUGUGAUGUUCAGUCGGGCGCUGUCAUGGAGAAGAAUUGGGCCCAUUCUGUUGACCAAUGCUGGCUGCAAGUAUUGCAGUUUUCAGUGCAUCUCAUUGAUUUGCUGAGCAUACUUCUCAGAUAUAAUGGUUUCACUGGGAUUCAGAAAACUGUAGUAGAUCAGACGGGUAGUAGACCACUAAAGAGUGACCAUGAACUUUUUUCGGGUGCAAAUUUGGCUUUGGAAAGUGCUUUGGAGCAUCUUCUUGGUUCAGCUGCUGAACUGGCCAUUGCUGGCUAUAGUAUAAAAUAUCACAAAGUGAUUGAGAAAUGGUUUGUUGUUGUU